AACGAACGCUGGCGGCAUGCCUAACACAUGCAAGUCGAACGAGACCUUCGGGUCUAGUGGCGCACGGGUGCGUAACGCGUGGGAACCUGCCCUUAGGUUCGGAAUAACUCCCCGAAAGGGGUGCUAAUACCGGAUAAUGUCUUCGGACCAAAGAUUUAUCGCCUUUGGAUGGGCCCGCGUUGGAUUAGCUAGUUGGUAGGGUAAAAGCCUACCAAGGCGACGAUCCAUAGCUGGUCUGAGAGGAUGAUCAGCCACACUGGGACUGAGACACGGCCCAGACUCCUACGGGAGGGAGCGGUGGGGAAUAUUGGAGAAUGGGGGAAAGCCUGACACAGCAAUGCCGCGUGAGUGAUGAAGGCCUUAGGGUUGUAAAGCUGUUUUACCCGGGAUGAUAAUGACAGUACCGGGAGAAUAAGCUCCGGCUAACUCCGUG
Molecule: ribosomal RNA, 433 nt
Filed under: uncultured bacterium
Lineage: Bacteria
Description: partial 16S ribosomal RNA
Rfam family: Bacterial small subunit ribosomal RNA
Source: RNAcentral